RNAcentral lists this ribosomal RNA (253 nucleotides) under uncultured bacterium. Its description in RNAcentral is "partial 16S ribosomal RNA". It matches the Rfam family "Bacterial small subunit ribosomal RNA", at positions 524 to 776 of the family's 1533-position model. The record is from RNAcentral.
GACAGAGGUGCCGAGCGUUAGGCGGAAUCACUGGGCGUAAAGGGCGCGUAGGCGGAUCUUUAAGUCGGGGGUGAAAGCCCAGGGCUCAACCCUGGAAUUGCCUUCGAUACUGGAGAUCUUGAGACCGGAAGAGGUAAGUGGAACUGCGAGUGUAGAGGUGAAAUUCGUAGAUAUUCGCAAGAACACCAGUGGCGAAGGCGGCUUACUGGUCCGGUUCUGACGCUGAGGCGCGAAAGCGUGGGGAGCAAACAGG